Molecule: long non-coding RNA, 575 nt
Filed under: Homo sapiens (human)
Lineage: Eukaryota; Metazoa; Chordata; Mammalia; Primates; Hominidae
Description: PCMTD1 divergent transcript
Source: RNAcentral
GUGCUCCUCCUGCAGCGGACGGAAGAUGCUGGGCCACGCAAGUUUCCCUGGGCUUGGUUAACCACCCCAAAGCCCAUUUCCAGAAGGAAAGGGUGUUGAGGAGGAGGGAUAGAAAGUCGAGAAGAGGGCCGGGUGAGUGGCUCACGCCUGUCAUCCCAGCACUUUGGGAGGCCGAGACAGGCGGAUCACCUGAGGUCAGGACUUAGAGACCAGCCUGGCCUACAUGGUGAAACCCCGUCUCUACUAAAAAUACAAAAAUUAGCCGGGUGUGGUGCCGUGCGCCUGUAGUCCCAGCAACUCGGGAGGCUGAGGUAGGAGAAUCGCUUGAACCCGGGAGUCGGAGGUUGCAGUGCUGAGAUGGCACCUGGCCUGGGCGGCAAGAGCGAAACUCCAUCUCAAAAAAAAAAAGAAGAGGAAAUGAGGCAUAGGGGCAGGCGAGCCGGGAAAAUAUUGCUACUAAGGAUCCUAAGCAGUGAACAUGCUGUUAAUACUUAGAUGAGAUCUUGCUCUGUCACCCAGACUGGAGUGCAGUGGCACGAUCAUAGCUCACUGCACCCUCAAACUCCUGGACUCAA